Non-coding RNA from Hepatocystis sp. ex Piliocolobus tephrosceles, 299 nucleotides. The record is from the annotation of a GenBank genome assembly. Lineage: Eukaryota; Apicomplexa; Aconoidasida; Haemosporida; Plasmodiidae.
GCAAUACUGGGACACGUUUGUAAGACGGUACCCUUAAGGGUAUUGGUCUCUAUAGGCGGUAAAAAAUGGGAUAUCUUUAAUGUGGGUAUAAUUCGAUUAUCAGUACUAUUCCCGUCUAUCACAAGAUGGCAGUUACUGAACAGGUCUUGUUGGAAAAAGGACAUGUUGAAGUAAUAAUGAACUACGUAUCGCCUCAGGCUGGGAACAGAGCAGGGUUAGUAGUCGCUGAUGUACGGUGUGAAAGAAUUACGGUUGAGUAAAAUGAUAUCAUCAAAUUACAUCCACGUUAAGUGUACACC